This 440-nucleotide ribosomal RNA is filed under the name uncultured bacterium. RNAcentral's name for it is "partial 16S ribosomal RNA". It matches the Rfam family "Bacterial small subunit ribosomal RNA", at positions 338 to 795 of the family's 1533-position model. The record is from RNAcentral.
CCUACGGGAGGCUGCAGUGGGGAAUAUUGCACAAUGGGGGAAACCCUGAUGCAGCGACGCCGCGUGAGUGAAGAAGUAAUUCGUUAUGUAAAGCUCUAUCAGCAGGGAAGAAAAUGACGGUACCUGAGUAAGAAGCCCCGGCUAACUACGUGCCAGCAGCCGCGGUAAUACGUAGGGGGCAAGCGUUAUCCGGAUUUACUGGGUGUAAAGGGAGCGUAGACGGCAGUGCAAGUCUGGAGUGAAAGGGGGGGGCUCAACCCCCGGACUGCUCUGGAAACUGUACGGCUGGAGUGCAGGAGAGGUAAGCGGAAUUCGUAGUGUAGCGGUGAAAUGCGUAGAUAUUAGGAGGAACACCAGUGGCGAAGGCGGCUUACUGGACUGUAACUGACGUUGAGGCUCGAAAGCGUGGGGAGCAAACAGGAUUAGAUACCCGAGUAGUC